UACGGAGGAUGCGAGCGUUAUCCGGAUUUAUUGGGUUUAAAGGGUGCGUAGGCGGGAUGCCAAGUCAGCGGUAAAAAUGCGGUGCUCAACGCCGUCGAGCCGUUGAAACUGGCGUUCUUGAGUGGGCGAGAAGUAUGCGGAAUGCGUGGUGUAGCGGUGAAAUGCAUAGAUAUCACGCAGAACUCCGAUUGCGAAGGCGGCAUACCGGCGCCCUACUGACGUUGAGGCACGAAAGCGUGGGUAUCGAACAGG
This 252-nucleotide ribosomal RNA is filed under the name uncultured bacterium. RNAcentral describes it as "partial 16S ribosomal RNA". It matches the Rfam family "Bacterial small subunit ribosomal RNA", at positions 524 to 776 of the family's 1533-position model. The record is from RNAcentral.